RNAcentral lists this unclassified non-coding RNA (328 nucleotides) under soil metagenome. RNAcentral's name for it is "partial contains 5.8S ribosomal RNA, internal transcribed spacer 2, and large subunit ribosomal RNA". The stretch from base 1 to 120 matches the Rfam family "5.8S ribosomal RNA", at positions 35 to 154 of the family's 154-position model. The record is from RNAcentral.
GAUGAAGAACGUAGCGAAAUGCGAUAAGUAAUGUGAAUUGCAGAAUUCAGUGAAUCAUCGAAUCUUUGAACGCACAUUGCGCCCCUUGGUAUCCCGAGGGGCAUGCCUGUUCGAGCGUCAUUUCACCACUCAAGCCUGGCUUGGUGUUGGGCGACGUCCCCUUUAGGGACGCGCCUCGAAACGCUCGGCGGCGUGGCACCGGCUUUAAGCGUAGCAGAAUCUUUCGCUUUGGAAGUCGGGGCCCCGCCUGCCGGAAUACCUACUCGUAAGGUUGACCUCGGAUCAGGCAGGGAUACCCGCUGAACUUAAGCAUAUCAAUAAGCGGAGG